UGCCACGUGCGUCUGAGCAUGUGGACAUUCACCCCCCAACUCUCUCUUCCUUUCACCCUCUACCCGUGGUUUCUUCAUGUUUUUUUUUCUUCUCCAAUUGAAUUUCUCAAUUUCCCAUCUUCUUUUUCUGUUUGGUUCCCGCGAAUCUCCAAUCAGACAAGACAAAGGGUCGACCCGUUAAUUGAGUUGCGCUGAUAUGGAGAAGGUUGAGCCCACUUUAGAAGUGUUCUAUGAGGAGAAGAAGCGGGUUAGGAACCCUUGGGUACCAGUUGGGGCGUUGUUGACUGCUGGCGUGCUCACGGCCGGCUUGAUCAGUUUCAGGCAAGGCAAUUCUCAGCUGGGGCAGAAGCUAAUGAGAGCUCGUGUGGUUGCCCAAGGUGGCACAGUGGCGCUUAUGGUUGGCUCUGCAUACUACUACGGGGAGAAUCCGUGGAAAAAAUCUAGUUAAACUAUUUAUGCCUUAUACGUUAUCAUUUCCCUUCGUUCUUACAAUUACAUUUUGUUGUUUCAUGCAUGUUGAAGCAAAAUUAGGCAGUAGAACCAAUUAUUUGUCUCUGAUAAGUGAGUUUCAUAGCUUGCGCUAAAUAAAUAAACUCUUAUAUUGGAGGGUUUACCAAAACAAAACCAUGUCAAAUUGUGAAGGUUCUUAUGA
Molecule: non-coding RNA, 652 nt
Organism: Prunus mume (Japanese apricot)
Lineage: Eukaryota; Viridiplantae; Streptophyta; Magnoliopsida; Rosales; Rosaceae
Source: RefSeq, a predicted model, not a curated record